UUACCCACUCCCGGCACGGGGAGGUAGUGACGAAAAAUAACGAUACGGGACUCAUCCGAGGCCCCGUAAUCGGAAUGAGUACACUCUAAACCCUUUAANGAGGAUCAAUUGGAGGGCAAGUCUGGUGCCAGCAGCCGCGGUAAUUCCAGCUCCAAUAGCGUAUAUUAAAGUUGUUGCGGUUAAAAAGCUCGUAGUCGAAUUUGUGUCUCGUGCCGCUGGUUCAUCGUUCGCGGUGUUAACUGGCGAGUCGCGAGACGUCCUGCCGGUGGGCUUAGCUCGCAAGGGCGGCCCAACUCAAUCCUGCCGCGGUGCUCUUCAUUGAGUGUCGAGGUGGGCCGGCACGUUUACUUUGAACAAAUUAGAGUGCUUAAAGCAGGCUAAAACUUUGCCUGAAUACUGUGUGCAUGGAAUAAUGGAAUAGGACCUCGGUUCUAUUUUGUUGGUUUUNNGAACCCCGAGGUAAUGAUUAAUAGGAACGGAUGGGGGCAUUCGUAUUGCGACGUUAGAGGUGAAAUUCUUGGAUCGUCGCAAGANGAACAGAAGCGAAAGCAUUUGCCAAAAACGCUUUCAUUGAUCAAGAACGAAAGUUAGAGGUUCGAAGGCGAUCAGAUACCGCCCUAGUUCUAACCAUAAACGAUGUCAGCUAGCGAUCCGUCGACGUUCCUCCGAUGACUCGACGGGCAGCUUCCGGGAAACCAAAGCUUUUGGGUUCCGGGGGAAGUAUGGUUGCAAAGCUGAAACUUAAAGGAAUUGACGGAAGGGCACCACCAGGAGUGGAGCCUGCGGCUUAAUUUGACUCAACACGGGAAACCUCACCAGGCCCGGACACCGGAAGGAUUGACAGAUUGAGAGCUCUUUCUUGAUUCGGUGGGUGGUGGUGCAUGGCCGUUCUUAGUUGGUGGAGCGAUUUGUCUGGUUAAUUCCGAUAACGAACGAGACUCUAGCCUGCUAACUAGGCGUAUUUUGACAUCCUAAAGGCCCGUCGGCUCGGGG
RNAcentral lists this ribosomal RNA (993 nucleotides) under Anthonomus pomorum (apple weevil). RNAcentral describes it as "SSU rRNA". It matches the Rfam family "Eukaryotic small subunit ribosomal RNA", at positions 441 to 1395 of the family's 1831-position model. Lineage: Eukaryota; Metazoa; Arthropoda; Insecta; Coleoptera; Curculionidae. The record is from RNAcentral.